Long non-coding RNA from Oryzias melastigma (Indian medaka), 236 nucleotides. RefSeq lists it as uncharacterized. NCBI's taxonomy places the organism in Eukaryota, Metazoa, Chordata, Actinopteri, Beloniformes, Adrianichthyidae. The record is from RefSeq and is a predicted model, not a curated record. The transcript has 2 exons.
GGAAAAUGAAAUAAAACCACGCAGGAGGAAAGGUGGGAUUUGAUCUGCAGGACGUCAUGGUCCACAAGAUCCCAUCUUCUCUGUGGAAAUCCUGAGGCUGCAUCCAGAAACACUUCCAGCCGCUCAUCCUCCAGAGAGAACUUCAGAUCGUACCUGAUCAGCUCGAUGAGCCGCUCCUCCAGAAUGGCUUUGGUUCUGUUCAGGUCCUCGAUCUCCGCCGUCAUCUUCAGCUGCUG